Molecule: microRNA precursor, 64 nt
Filed under: Caenorhabditis briggsae
Lineage: Eukaryota; Metazoa; Nematoda; Chromadorea; Rhabditida; Rhabditidae
Description: Cbr-Bantam-P4_pre stem-loop
Rfam family: mir-81 microRNA precursor family
Source: RNAcentral
AGGUUUUCGCCGUGAUCUGCAGAGUUCCAUGAAGAAAACAUCUGAGAUCAUCGUGAAAGCCAGU